This 164-nucleotide ribosomal RNA is filed under the name Gymnema muelleri. RNAcentral's name for it is "5.8S ribosomal RNA". It matches the Rfam family "5.8S ribosomal RNA". Rfam says of the family: 5.8S ribosomal RNA (5.8S rRNA) is a component of the large subunit of the eukaryotic ribosome. Lineage: Eukaryota; Viridiplantae; Streptophyta; Magnoliopsida; Gentianales; Apocynaceae. The record is from RNAcentral. RNAcentral also lists the same sequence under 1 other name.
CGCACGACUCUCGGCAACGGAUAUCUAGGCUCUCGCAUCGAUGAAGAACGUAGCAAACUGCGAUACUUGGUGUGAAUUGCAGAAUCCCGUGAACCAUCGAGUCUUUGAACGCAAGUUGCGCCCGAAGCCGUUAGGCCGAGGGCACGUCUGCCUGGGCGUCACGC